CCUACGGGCUGCAGCAGUGAGGAAUAUUGGUCAAUGGACGAGCGUCUGAACCAGCCAAGUAGCGUGAAGGAUGACUGCCCUAUGGGUUGUACACUUCUUUUAUAUGGGAAUAAAACGUUCCACGUGUGGGAUUUUGUAUGUACCAUAUGAAUACGGAUCGGCUAACUCCGUGCCAACAGCCGCGGUAAUACGGAGGAUCCGAGCGUUAUCCGGAUUUCUUGGGUUUAAAGGUAGCGUAGGUUGAUUGUUAAGGCAGUUGUGAAAGUUUGCGGCUCAACCGUAAAAUUGCAGUUGAAACUGGCAGUCUUGAGUACAGUAGAGGUGGGCGGAAUUCGUGGUGUAGCGGUGAAAUGCUUAGAUAUCACGAAGAACUCCGAUUGCGAAGGCAGUUCACUGGACUGUAACUGACACUGAGGCUCGAAAGUGUGGGUAUCAAACAGGAUUAGAUACCCUUGUAGUC
Molecule: ribosomal RNA, 460 nt
Filed under: uncultured bacterium
Lineage: Bacteria
Description: partial 16S ribosomal RNA
Rfam family: Bacterial small subunit ribosomal RNA
Source: RNAcentral